CCUGGCUCAGAUUGAGCGCUGGCGGCAGGCCUAACGCAUGCAAGUCGAGCGGAAACGACAUAAUAGAAGCUUCGGUGGACAUUAUGGGCGUCGAGCGGCGGACGGGUGAGUAAUGCUUAGGAAUUUGCCCAGUCGAGGGGGAUAACUAUUGGAAACGAUAGCUAAUACCGCAUACGCCCUACGGGGGAAAGAGGGGGACCUUCGGGCCUCUUGCGAUUGGAUAAGCCUAAGUGAGAUUAGCUAGUUGGUGAGGUAAGAGCUCACCAAGGCGACGAUCUCUAGCUGGUCUGAGAGGAUGAUCAGCCACACUGGGACUGAGACACGGCCCAGACUCCUACGGGAGGCAGCAGUGGGGAAUAUUGCACAAUGGGGGAAACCCUGAUGCAGCCAUGCCGCGUGUGUGAAGAAGGCCUUCGGGUUGUAAAGCACUUUCAGCAGUGAGGAAGAUGUGUAGAUUAAUACUCUGCACAUUUGACGUUAGCUGCAGAAGAAGCACCGGCUAACUCCGUGCCAGCAGCCGCGGUAAUACGGAGGGUGCGAGCGUUAAUCGGAAUUACUGGGCGUAAAGCGCAUGCAGGUGGUUUGUUAAGUCAGAUGUGAAAGCCCGGGGCUCAACCUCGGAAGGUCAUUUGAAACUGGCAAGCUAGAGUACUGUAGAGGGGGGUAGAAUUUCAGGUGUAGCGGUGAAAUGCGUAGAGAUCUGAAGGAAUACCGGUGGCGAAGGCGGCCCCCUGGACAGAUACUGACACUCAGAUGCGAAAGCGUGGGGAGCAAACAGGAUUAGAUACCCUGGUAGUCCACGCCGUAAACGAUGUCUACUUGGAGGUUGUUCCCUUGAGGAGUGGCUUUCGGAGCUAACGCGUUAAGUAGACCGCCUGGGGAGUACGGUCGCAAGAUUAAAACUCAAAUGAAUUGACGGGGGCCCGCACAAGCGGUGGAGCAUGUGGUUUAAUUCGAUGCAACGCGAAGAACCUUACCUACUCUUGACAUCCAGAGAAGCCGGAAGAGAUUCUGGUGUGCCUUCGGGAGCUCUGAGACAGGUGCUGCAUGGCUGUCGUCAGCUCGUGUUGUGAAAUGUUGGGUUAAGUCCCGCAACGAGCGCAACCCUUAUCCUUAAUUGCCUGCACUUCGGGUGGGAACUUUGGGGAGACUGCCGGUGAUAAACCGGAGGAAGGUGGGGGCGACGUCAAGUCAUCAUGGCCCUUACGAGUAGGGCUACACACGUGCUACAAUGGCGUAUACAGAGGGCAGCUAGCUAGCGAUAGUGAGCGAAUCCCAAAAAGUGCGUCGUAGUCCGGAUCGGAGUCUGCAACUCGACUCCGUGAAGUCGGAAUCGCUAGUAAUCGUGGAUCAGAAUGCCACGGUGAAUACGUUCCCGGGCCUUGUACACACCGCCCGUCACACCAUGGGAGUGGGCUGCAAAAGAAGUAGGUAGUUUAACCUUUUGGGGGACGCUUACCACUUUGUGGUUCAUGACUGGGGUGAAGUCGUAACA
RNAcentral lists this ribosomal RNA (1495 nucleotides) under uncultured bacterium. Its description in RNAcentral is "bacterial SSU rRNA". It matches the Rfam family "Bacterial small subunit ribosomal RNA". The record is from RNAcentral.